GACGAACGCUGGCGGCGUGCCUAAUACAUGCAAGUCGAACGGUAAGGCCCUGCCUUUGUGUGCUGCUCGAGUGGCGAACGGGUGAGUAACACGUGAGUAACCUGCCUUGGACCUUGGGAUAACUAUAGGAAACGGUGGCUAAUACCGCAUGACAGCACCUGCUGCAUGGUAACGGUUGGAAAGGGUCGACGGUUCCGGAAGCACUCGCGGCUUAUAAGUUUGUGGGUGUGGUAGUGGCAUACCAAGGCCUUGACGAGUAGCCAGCCUGAGAGUGUGACCGGCCACAUUCGGCCUGAGAUGGCGCCGAUACUGCAACGGGAGGCAUCAGUGGAGAAUGUUGCACUAUAGGCGGAAGCAUGAUGCAACAACGCCGCGUGCGGGAUGACGGCCUUCGGGUAGUAAACCGCGUUCGACUGUAACGGUGCGUGAGUGACGGUAUUGGAUAAAGAAGCACCGGCUAACUACGUG
Molecule: ribosomal RNA, 468 nt
Filed under: uncultured bacterium
Lineage: Bacteria
Description: partial 16S ribosomal RNA
Rfam family: Bacterial small subunit ribosomal RNA
Source: RNAcentral